GACGAACGCUGGCGGCGUGCCUAAUACAUGCAAGUCGAACGCAUUUUCUUUCACCGUAGCUUGCUACACCGAAAGAAAAUGAGUGGCGAACGGGUGAGUAACACGUGGGUAACCUGCCCAUCAGCGGGGGAUAACACUUGGAAACAGGUGCUAAUACCGCAUAAUUCCAUUUACCGCAUGGUAAAUGGAUGAAAGGCGCUUUUGCGUCACUGAUGGAUGGACCCGCGGGGCAUUAGCUAGUUGGUGGGGUAACGGCCUACCAAGGCUGCGAUGCAUAGCCCCACUGAGAGGGUGAUCGGCCACACUGGGACUGGGACACGCCCCAGACGCCUACGGGAGGCAGCAGUAGGGAAUCUUCGGCCAGGGACGCAAGUCUGACCGAGCAACGCCGCGUGAGUGAAGAAGGUUUUCGGAUCGUAAAACUCUGUUGUUAGAGAAGAACAAGGAUGAGAGUGGAAAGUUCAUCCCUUGACGGUAUCUAACCAGAAAGCCACGGCUAACUACGUG
RNAcentral lists this ribosomal RNA (507 nucleotides) under uncultured bacterium. RNAcentral describes it as "partial 16S ribosomal RNA". It matches the Rfam family "Bacterial small subunit ribosomal RNA", at positions 28 to 507 of the family's 1533-position model. The record is from RNAcentral.